GAUGAACGCUCGCGGGAGGCUUAACACAUGCAAGCCGAGGGGUAUAGUUCUUUCGGGAACUAGAGACCGGCGCACGGGUGCGUAACGCGUAUGCAACUUGCCCUACUGAAAAGGAUAGCCCUUCGAAAGGAGGAUUAAUACUUUAUAACAGAUUUAAUGGCAUCAUUAGAUUUUGAAAGAUUUAUCGCCGUAGGAUAGGCAUGCGUAAGAUUAGUUAGUUGGUGAGGUAACGGCUCACCAAGACGCUGUUCUUUAGGGGGCCUGAGAGGGUGAACCCCCACACGGAUACUGAGACCCGGACCAGACUCCUACGGGAUGCAGCAGUGAGGAAUAUUGGACAAUGGGUGGAAGCCUGAUCCAGCCAUCCCGGGUGUAGGAAGACGGCCUUAGGAGUUGUAAACUACUUUUAUCUGAGGAAAAACCUACUUACGUGUAAGUAGCUGAAGGUACCAGAAGAAUAAGCACCGGCUAACUCCGUG
RNAcentral lists this ribosomal RNA (479 nucleotides) under uncultured bacterium. Its description in RNAcentral is "partial 16S ribosomal RNA". It matches the Rfam family "Bacterial small subunit ribosomal RNA", at positions 28 to 507 of the family's 1533-position model. The record is from RNAcentral.